This 700-nucleotide ribosomal RNA is filed under the name uncultured Actinomycetes bacterium. RNAcentral's name for it is "bacterial SSU rRNA". It matches the Rfam family "Bacterial small subunit ribosomal RNA", at positions 94 to 808 of the family's 1533-position model. The record is from RNAcentral. Lineage: Bacteria; Bacillati; Actinomycetota; Actinomycetes.
AGUGGCGAACGGGUGAGUAACACGUGAGUAACCCGCCCUUGACUCUGGGAUAAGCGUUGGAAACGACGUCUAAUACCGGAUACGAGCUAGGACCGCAUGGUCACUAGCUGGAAAGAAUUUCGGUCAAGGAUGGACUCGCGGCCUAUCAGCUAGUUGGUGAGGUAACGGCUCACCAAGGCGACGACGGGUAGCCGGCCUGAGAGGGUGACCGGCCACACUGGGACUGAGACACGGCCCAGACUCCUACGGGAGGCAGCAGUGGGGAAUAUUGCACAAUGGGCGCAAGCCUGAUGCAGCAACGCCGCGUGAGGGACGACGGCCUUCGGGUUGUAAACCUCUUUUAGCAGGGAAGAAGCGCAAGUGACGGUACCUGCAGAAAAAGCACCGGCUAACUACGUGCCAGCAGCCGCGGUAAUACGUAGGGUGCAAGCGUUGUCCGGAAUUAUUGGGCGUAAAGAGCUCGUAGGCGGUCUGUCGCGUCUGCUGUGAAAACCCGAGGCUCGACCUCGGGCCUGCAGUGGGUACGGGCAGACUAGAGUGCGGUAGGGGAGAUUGGAAUUCCUGGUGUAGCGGUGGAAUGCGCAGAUAUCAGGAGGAACACCGAUGGCGAAGGCAGAUCUCUGGGCCGUAACUGACGCUGAGGAGCGAAAGCGUGGGGAGCGAACAGGAUUAGAUACCCUGGUAGUCCACGCCGUAAACG